This 859-nucleotide ribosomal RNA is filed under the name uncultured candidate division GN05 bacterium. RNAcentral's name for it is "bacterial SSU rRNA". It matches the Rfam family "Bacterial small subunit ribosomal RNA", at positions 514 to 1370 of the family's 1533-position model. The record is from RNAcentral.
GCCGCGGUAAUACGUAGGGACCGAAGCGCUUGUUCGGAAUUAUUGGGCGUAAAGGGUAUGUAGGCGGUCUAUUAAGUUAGAUGUGAAAAAUCUGGGCUCAACCGAGAUCUUGCGUCUAAUACUGAUAGGCUAGAGUCUCUGAGAGGAAGGCGGAAUUCCUGGUGUAGGGGUGAAAUCUAUAGAUAUCAGGAAGAACACCGGUUGCGAAGGCGGCCUUCUGGCAGAGGACUGACGCUGAGGUACGAAAGUUAGGGUAGCAAACAGGAUUAGAGACCCUGGUAGUCCUAACCGUAAACGUUGUAUACUAGGUGGUUGAAGUAUUGAUCCUUUGACUGCCGCAGCAAACGCAUUAAGUAUACCGCCUGGGGAGUAUGCCGGCAACGGUGAAACUCAAAGGAAUUGACGGGGCCCCGCACAAGCAGUGGAGCAUGUUGCUUAAUUCGAUGAUACGCGAGUAACCUUACCAGGUCUUGACAUAUACCUGUCUGGUGUAGAAAUACAUCAUUGCUUCGGCACGGGUAUACAGGUGCUGCAUGGUUGUCGUCAGCUCGUGCCGUGAGGUGUUGGGUUAAGUCCCGCAACGAGCGCAACCCUUAUUCUUUGUUGCUAACAGGUUAAGCUGAGCACUCUAAGGAGACUGCCGGUGACAAACCGGAGGAAGGUGGGGACGACGUCAAAUCAUCACGGCCCUUAUGACCUGGGCUGCAAACGUGCUACAAUGGGUGGUACAAAGAGUUGCGAGACCGCGAGGUGGAGCUAAUCUCAAAAAACUAUCCUCAGUUCGGAUUGGAGUCUGAAACCCGACUCUAUGAAGUUGGAAUUGCUAGUAAUCGCACAUCAUCAUGGUGCGGUGAAUACG